UGAUGAAAGCCAGAAGACCCAGGUUCAAGGACUGCUUCUGACUUCCACUGUUUGACUAUGGUCAGCAUGCUUAACCUCCCAGUCAGGUAACUCCUCAAGGCAUAGUGGCAGAUCCUAAAAUAAGAUUUAAAGGCCAGAAAAGCUGAUUCACAGAGCCUGCAUUGUGAUUUCCAGUAGCACUGCUCAUCAGAGCAUGCAGAAAGAAAAAAAAAACCCCAACCCAACAAUGCUGCUUUUGAUAAUCCCGAGUACGUGCAUAAACCGGAGAUCACACCGGCCAUCAAAACCAAUCAGCCCCGUGUUCUUUCUCAAGGUGUUGAGCAUUCACUAGAGCAGAUGGUCUGACAAGUGAGGAUUCAAUCUGUGCUUGAAGCCCUCCAAGGAGGAAGAACCUACAAUCUCUUGAGCUAGUCCAGGAUAGCCAUACCAGAGCACGGACAUAACCCUUGAUCUCACUGGUUAGGAUCGGUUAAUUUCCUUCAGCACCACGAUGUUUACAGAGAGCUGCCAAGGGAAAUUGAGUAGGACCAGUGUCCUUUGACAGCCAAACUUGGACUCA
Non-coding RNA from Phascolarctos cinereus (koala), 559 nucleotides. The record is from RefSeq and is a predicted model, not a curated record. Lineage: Eukaryota; Metazoa; Chordata; Mammalia; Diprotodontia; Phascolarctidae.